GACGAACGCUGGCGGCGUGCUUAACACAUGCAAGUCGAACGGAAAGGCCCUGCUUUUGUGGGGUGCUCGAGUGGCGAACGGGUGAGUAAACGGUAGUAACCUGCCCCUGUCUUUUGGAUAACCUCCGGUAACUGGGGGUAAUACCCGGUUGGGUCUCCCUCUGCCUUGUGGGGGGUGGGAAGUUUCGGCGGUUUGGGGUGGACUUGCGGGGUGUCUGGUUGUUGGUGGGUGAGUGGCUUACCAAGGCUUUGACGGGUAGCCGGUCUGAGAGGGUGACCGGCCACAUUGGGACUGAGAGACGGCCCGGACUCCUACGGGAGGCAGCAGUGGGGAAUAUUGCACAAUGGGCGGAAGCCUGAUGCAGCAACGCCGCGGGCGGGAUGACGGCCUUCGGGGUGGAAACCGCUUUCGCCUGUGACGAAGCGUGAGUGAGGGUAAUGGGUAAGAAGCACCGGCUAACUACGUG
RNAcentral lists this ribosomal RNA (466 nucleotides) under uncultured bacterium. RNAcentral's name for it is "partial 16S ribosomal RNA". It matches the Rfam family "Bacterial small subunit ribosomal RNA", at positions 28 to 507 of the family's 1533-position model. The record is from RNAcentral.